GACUACAUGAAGCUGGAAUCGCUAGUAAUCGCGCAUCAGCCACGGCGCGGUGAAUACGUUCCCGGGCCUUGUACACACCGCCCGUCAAGCCAUGGAAGCCGGGGGUGCCUGAAGUGCGCUGCCGCAAGGAGCGCCCUAGGGUAAAACCGGUGACUGGGGCUAAGUCGUAACAAGGUACC
This 179-nucleotide ribosomal RNA is filed under the name uncultured bacterium. RNAcentral's name for it is "partial 16S ribosomal RNA". It matches the Rfam family "Bacterial small subunit ribosomal RNA", at positions 1314 to 1500 of the family's 1533-position model. The record is from RNAcentral.